RNAcentral lists this ribosomal RNA (769 nucleotides) under uncultured archaeon. RNAcentral's name for it is "bacterial SSU rRNA". It matches the Rfam family "Archaeal small subunit ribosomal RNA", at positions 1 to 750 of the family's 1478-position model. The record is from RNAcentral.
UUCCGGUUGACCCUGCCGGACCCGACUGCUAUCGGAUUGAGAUUUAGCCAUGCGAGUCGAACGUCCCCCUGUUGCGGGGGGCGUGGCGUACGGCUCAGUAACACGUAGUCAACCUGCCCUGGAGACGAGGACAACCCCGGGAAACUGGGAUUAAUCCUUGAUAGGUCAUCUCAUCUGGAAGGAGAGAUGGCUUAAAGGGGUACGCGGGCUUCUUCGCGAAUCUGCUCCAGGAUGGGACUGCGUCCGAUCAGGCUGUUGGCGGGGUAAUGGCCCACCAAACCUGUAACCGGUACGGGCCUUGAGAGAGGUGGCCCGGAGAUGGACACUGAGAGAAGGGUCCAGGUCCUACGGGGCGCAGCAGGCGCGAAACCUUCGCAAUGCGCGAAAGCGUGACGAGGUUAAUCCGAGUGACUCCCGCUGAGGGGGUCUUUUGUCAGCUGUAAAUAGGCAGGCGAAUAAGGGGAGGGCAAGCCUGGUGUCAGCCGCCGCGGUAAUACCAGCUCCUCGAGUGGUCGGGGCGAUUAUUGGGCCUAAAGCAUCCGUAGCCGGUUCCGUAGGUCCUCUGUUAAAUCCAACCGCUUAACGGUUGACCUGCAGAGGAUACCGCGGGACUAGGAGGCGGGAGAGGCGGACGGUACUCCGCGUGUAGGGGUAAAAUCCUUUGAUCCGCGGAAGACCACCAGUGGCGAAGGCGGUCCGCCAGAACGCGCUCGACGUGAGGGAUGAAAGCUGGGGGAGCGAACCGGAUUAGAUACCCGGGUAGUCCCAG